CCUACGGGUGGCACCAGUGAGGAAUUUUGCGCAAUGGGGGAAACCCUGACGCAGCAACGCCGCGUGAGUGAAGAAGGCCUUCGGGUCGUAAAGCUCUGUCAAGUGGGAAGAACCCUUCAGGUGUUAACAGCACCUGGAGCUGACGGUACCACUGAAGGAAGCACCGGCUAACUCCGUGCCAGCAGCCGCGGUAAUACGGAGGGUGCAAGCGUUAUUCGGAAUUACUGGGCGUAAAGGGCGCGCAGGCGGCCUGUCAAGUCAGUUGUGAAAUCCCGGGGCUCAACCCCGGAAGUGCGACUGAAACUGGCGGGCUUGAGUAUGGGAGAGGGAAGUGGAAUUCCUGGUGUAGCGGUGAAAUGCGUAGAUAUCAGGAGGAACACCGGUGGCGAAGGCGACUUCCUGGACCAAUACUGACGCUGAGGCGCGAAGGCGUGGGGAGCAAACAGGAUUAGAUACCCUUGUAGUC
This 466-nucleotide ribosomal RNA is filed under the name uncultured bacterium. RNAcentral's name for it is "bacterial SSU rRNA". It matches the Rfam family "Bacterial small subunit ribosomal RNA", at positions 338 to 795 of the family's 1533-position model. The record is from RNAcentral.